ACAGGUGCUGCAUGGCUGUCGUCAGCUCGUGUCGUGAGAUGUUCCGGUUAAGUCCGCUAACGAGCGCAACCCUCGCUGUGUGUUACAAGUGUCACACGGUACUGCCGGUCUUAAGCCGGAGGAAGGUGGGGAUGACGUCAAGUCAGCAUGGCCUUUAUGUCCUGGGCUACACACACGCUACAAUGGCCAACACAAUAGGUUGCUAAGCCGCGAGGUGGAGCCAAUCCUCAAAGUUGGUCUCAGUUCAGAUUGCAGGCUGCAACCCGCCUGCAUGAAGAUGGAGUUGCUAGUAACCGCAGGUCAGCUAUACUGCGGUGAAUACGUUCCCGGGGCUU
This 335-nucleotide ribosomal RNA is filed under the name uncultured Leptolinea sp. Its description in RNAcentral is "bacterial SSU rRNA". It matches the Rfam family "Bacterial small subunit ribosomal RNA", at positions 1034 to 1382 of the family's 1533-position model. Lineage: Bacteria; Bacillati; Chloroflexota; Anaerolineae; Anaerolineales; Anaerolineaceae. The record is from RNAcentral.